RNAcentral lists this ribosomal RNA (1236 nucleotides) under metagenome. RNAcentral describes it as "bacterial LSU rRNA". It matches the Rfam family "Bacterial large subunit ribosomal RNA", at positions 1564 to 2808 of the family's 2925-position model. The record is from RNAcentral.
UGAAUACGAGAUGCUACGGCAUCGAAGCAGUCUAUGUCAUACUUCCGAGAAAAGCUUGCACUGUCAUAAACAAAUAAUGCCUGUACCAUAACCGACACAGGUGGGUAGGUAGAGUAUACUAAGGGGCGCGAGAUAACUCUCUCUAAGGAACUCGGCAAAAUGACUCCGUAACUUCGGGAGAAGGAGUGCCUUAUUUUAUAAGGUUGCAAUAACAAGAUCCAAGCAACUGUUUACCAAAAACACAGGUCUCCGCUAAGUCGUAAGACGAUGUAUGGGGGCUGACGCCUGCCCAGUGCCAGAAGGUUAAAGAAGUUGGUUAGCAUUAGCGAAGCUGAUAACUGAAGCCCUGGUGAACGGCGGCCGUAACAAUAACGGUCCUAAGGUAGCGAAAUUCCUUGUCGGGUAAGUUCCGACCCGCACGAAAGGCGUAAUGAUUUGGAUACUGUCUCGGAGAGGGGCUCGGUGAAAUAGACUUGUCUGUGAAGAUGCGGACUACCUGCACCAGGACAGAAAGACCCUAUGAAGCUUUACUGUAACUUGAGAUUGAAAUUGGACUUUAUUUGCGCAGUAUAGGUGGGAGACGUUGAAAAUAUUCUUGCGGGAAUAUUGGAGUCAUCAGUGAGAUACCACUCUUAUAAUGUUAGAUUUCUAACUUUGUAUCAUUAUCUGGUCAAAGAACAGUCUCAGGCGGGCAGUUUGACUGGGGCGGUCGCCUCCCAAACGGUAACGGAGGCGCACAAAGGUUUCCUCUGAACGUGUAGAAAUCGUAUCUAGAGUGUAAAGGCAUAAGGAAGCUUGACUGUGAGACCUACAAGUCGAGCAGGGACGAAAGUCGGUCUUAGUGAUCUGACGGUGCUGAGUGGAAAGGCCGUCACUCAACGGAUAAAAGUUACUCUAAGGAUAACAGGCUGAUCUCCCCCAAGAGUUCACAUCGACGGGGAGGUUUGGCACCUCGAUGUCGGCUCAUCGCAUCCUGGGGCGGUAGUACGUCCCAAGGGUUGGGCUGUUCGCCCAUGAAAGCGGUACGCGAGCUGGGUUCAGAACGUCGUGAGACAGUUCGGUCCAUAUCCGGUGUAGGCGUUAGAAUAUUGAGAGGAGCCUUCUUUAGUACGAGAGGACCGAGAAGGACAUACCUCUGGUGUACCAGUUAUCGUGCCAACGGUAAACGCUGGGUAGCUAUGUAUGGAGAGGAUAACCGCUGAAAGCAUCUAAGUGGGAAGCCCACCUCAAGAUAAG